Molecule: ribosomal RNA, 253 nt
Filed under: uncultured bacterium
Lineage: Bacteria
Description: partial 16S ribosomal RNA
Rfam family: Bacterial small subunit ribosomal RNA
Source: RNAcentral
GACAGAGGUGCCAAGCGUUAGGCGGAAUCACUGGGCUUAAAGCGUGUGUAGGCGGAUCGUUAAGUACCUUGUGAAAUCCCACGGCUUAACCGUGGAACUGCUCGGUAUACUGGCGGUCUUGAGCAGCCUAGGGGCGAGCGGAACAAAUGGUGGAGCGGUGAAAUGCGUAGAUAUCAUUUGGAACGCCAAUGGUGAAAACAGCUCGCUGGGGGUUUGCUGACGCUGAGACACGAAAGCCAGGGGAGCAAACGGG